This 231-nucleotide ribosomal RNA is filed under the name uncultured bacterium. RNAcentral describes it as "partial 16S ribosomal RNA". It matches the Rfam family "Bacterial small subunit ribosomal RNA", at positions 89 to 334 of the family's 1533-position model. The record is from RNAcentral.
AGUAAAGUGGCGUACGGGUGAGUAACACGUGGAUAAUCUACCUCUUGGUGGGGAAUAACUCUGGGAAACCGGAGCUAAUACCGCAUAAGCCUGGAAAGGGAAAGUCGCAAGACGCUGAGAGAGGAGUCCGCGGCCGAUUAGCUAGUUGGCAGGGUAAAAGCCUACCAAGGCUAUGAUCGGUAGCCGGCCUGAGAGGGCACACGGCCACACUGGCACUGAAACACGGGCCAG